RNAcentral lists this long non-coding RNA (2757 nucleotides) under Paramuricea clavata. The record is from RNAcentral. Lineage: Eukaryota; Metazoa; Cnidaria; Anthozoa; Malacalcyonacea; Plexauridae.
ACUUAACAGCUACAAUGAGUAAUCAUAUAUUAUAUGGUGGAUUUGAUCAAUGGCACACAAUGUACAAAACUAAACUUGUGAUACCUUCUACUCAAACCGAUAAUCUCCCACAACACGAUUGUUUUUGUGUGAAUGUGCUGUACGUGUUAAACCGAACAGUGUGGUAUAUCAUAAACUGUGCACAGAACUGGAAUUUAAUUAUAUACUUCACUCAUGACCUUCAAAACAUUCUCAAUUAUUCAGUGGUCUUCGACAUGUUCACCAAAUAUUUUGUGUAUGUUACUCAACAGUUAACAUUGGCAAGUGUAAACAACAAGUGACAUAACUUUUGCUUCAUAUGAUUACAAUAAAGUUUUGAAAAUUUGAUGAGUAUGGAUUGAAUUGACAGGUGACAGUUUACUAAAUAGCCGGCUGUAUAGACACUUUGAAUAUUGUUUGCAUGAAAUUUUUAUUUUCUGACUGCAUAAUUAUCUGUUACAAUCAAAAUCACAUUAUAAUGUUAGUUAAAUUUUCUCGGUGUGGGGGUGGGGGUAGCACUUGCCCUGCUGCACUCCCCGCUGUGUACAGCCCUGUUUUAAAUCUUAUCUGCCAUUAUAAUAAGUGAUGAAAUAUUUCAUUUGUCCCAUGUCAUCUUCAUUAUUCAGUUUCUUUCAAGAAAAUACAAAAUGUGAAUCAAGUUUUUUUUGCAGAUACAUGUACGCGUCGCGUACCUAUUUUUUUACAUGCGGCAGUUUUACAUUUCAUACAACACUUUCUAUAACUGGCAGAGUAAACAGAAGUCAAAACUCUUCAACCUUUACAACUCUUACACCGGGUUGCUUUUACGUAUGCCCCAACACAGUAGGGUAGAGUACAGUAGACUGUAGAGUUUAGUAAAGUACAGUUAAGUAUAAAGUACAGUUUAGUUCAGUGCAGUAAAGUACACUCUGUACAGUACAAUACAAUACAAUGUAUUAGGGUACUGUACGGUGAGUGCAAAAAACUAGAGUACAGCAUGGUUCUAAAAUCGUUCAUAUAUAACGCUUAUCUGUAAAAACAUUCCAGGUAAUUUUGGAUGAGCUACCACCAUUACCGAAACAAGAGUGCAAAAUUUCCGCGUCUUUUCACGUGAAAAUGUAAGUGGACUCCUUUAUUGAACAUAUAGAAGUUGAUGCCGUGUGUACCCCUAAUAGAUGAUGUUAGUUCAUAGAUGUUGGCUGCUUCCGGUGUUUCAGGUCAACAUACAUAAACGGUCGGUGCCAAUGUGGGUAGCGAUGAUAACAAAAAUAAUUAACUUAGACAGUAAUACUUCCCGAUGAAGGGCCUUCGCUCGAAACGUCGAAAUUCUGUUCAAAUUUUUCAGGUAGUUGUAUCUCUACAUACUGCUGCUUUUCAUAAUGAAGGUUUACCAGUUCUUAAAGUAAUGUGAUAUUAAUAUCUGAAUUGAAGUAAAUCUCGCCAAUUAUCUCCCUCUACUGCAUGACUCAGUUGAUUAAGAAUUAGUGAGGACUAACCUCUGAUUGAUGUCCUCUUAACGCUGCUGAAAUCGGAGAUAAGCGUCGACCAUGCCGUAACUAACACUAAGCGAGAGGAGGGAAUAAAGUUUUUAGGAGCAAAGGAUACAAAAGUCUCGUGUAUCGUUUUCAUAUACUUUUAAUUAGACAAAUUACCAUGAAAGUUGGAAGUUCCAACAAAGGUUUGAGAAACUAUAGAACUGAAAUUUUGGAGCAACAAAAGGGUGGGAAUAGGUUGAUCCGCCUCUAGUGUGAAGCCCUCUCUUCUCGCAAUGAGAGUUUCAUCCAGUAUAUGUUCGACACCGAGUCAUUUUUUUGUUCACUUAUAACAAGGUAAUUUCUUUACUUUAUAUUUGUUAGAGAUGGUUCUUUACAUAUCCAUGUGUCUGAGAAGUCGUCAGGGAAAUCAGUGGGUGUGACUGUCGAGCAUGGCUAAAGAUACCUAUAUAUAUAUAUAUAAUAAUUAAAAUAGAUUUUGUAAAAUAUGAUGACGUUUCAUGAAACCAUAGUUGAACAGUGCUUAUUAGUGAUAGUGCCAGGACGUUCGCACCCAAAUAACGCGCUCGAUCCAAGUUGGGAUAAAAUCGCAAUUAAAUAAUAACAUGCAGCUGAGACUGGAUGAUUUAUUGUUAUUACUAACUAACUGCAGUACCUGUUAAUAGUUAAUAACUGUUUUACCUCUAUUAAAUUAGGGGUAAAACACAGUAUUAAUCCAUGCAUGUACACGAAAAGAAUCCCGCACAAAUAGGCUUAUAUAAUAAUUAUUUGCAAUAUAUAUUUGCGCAAGUUUAUAUCAUAAUAUUAACGCUGGCAAACUAACAUUAGGCCUAUAACAAAAUAAAUUAAGGCAUGAUAUCUGAAGAUUAUAUAAAAAACCUGUUAUUAGAAUACAUUUAUCUUAUCAACUAGUAUUCAUUGGACAUUUGUUACAUGAUGUCUGUAUAUUGUUCUACUCUAUAUAUACAUUUUAUAAAAAUGUUCAACUCCUAUUUUAAUUUUUAUUCAAUGUUAACUGGCUUAUAUCUCAGCAGGUCGUGAAUUGAACGCCUGUCCAAUUCUGCGAGUGCCCUAUUCAUUUAUUACAAUAUAUACGACGCUAAUUUCUGUCUUUUAACUAGAAAUUUUUAACCGUUAUCUUCAAAUGUAUUUCACUUGGAUUGUUGUUCUUAUCGUGUUACUAUUUUCUGAAGUCCUUGCUCAGCUGUCUAAUGCGCCCUUUGAUGACUUGGUAGAUUUCUGGGGUAAGGUUUUGUAGUUACUAAGG